GUCCUUUUAGAUUACCUGCUUCACUAAAUUGCUUAAAACAAAUUUCACAAUUGUGAGGUUUUUCUCCCGUGUGCGUUCUCAAAUGCUGUUUUAAAUUUGAUAAUACAAAAAAUUCUUUAACACAAAUCUCUCACUUGUAAGGUUUUUCUUUCGUGUGCGUUCUCAAAUGUGUUUUUAAAGUACCUGCUUCACUAAAUUGCUUAAAACAAAUUUCACACUUGUGAGGUUUUUCUCCAGUGUGUGUUCUUAAGUGUUUUUUGAAAUCACUAGCAGUACGAGACUGUUUCGAAUAAAUUUCACACUUGUGAGCUUUUUCUCCUGUGUGUGUUAUCAAAUGAGUUUUUAAAGUACUUAUUUGGGAAAACCCCUUAACACAAAUUUCGCACUUGUAAGGUUUUUCUUUCGUGUGCGUUCUCAAAUGUAUUUUUAAAGUACCUGCUUCACUAAAUUGCUUAAAACAAAUUUCACACUUAUGAGGUUUUUCUCCUGUGUGCGUUCUCAAAUGAUUUUUUAAAUGCCCUAUUGCAGAAAAUUCCUUAAAACAUAUUUCACACUUGUGAGGCUUUUCUCUCGUGUGCGUUCUCAAAUGUGUUUUUAAAGA
RNAcentral lists this long non-coding RNA (601 nucleotides) under Diabrotica virgifera virgifera (western corn rootworm). Its description in RNAcentral is "uncharacterized LOC126880145". The record is from RNAcentral. Lineage: Eukaryota; Metazoa; Arthropoda; Insecta; Coleoptera; Chrysomelidae.